Molecule: non-coding RNA, 26 nt
Filed under: Cricetulus griseus (Chinese hamster)
Lineage: Eukaryota; Metazoa; Chordata; Mammalia; Rodentia; Cricetidae
Source: RNAcentral
CAGGAAGCUGGAAAAACAGGAGAAGA